Doryrhamphus excisus (bluestripe pipefish) is the source of this 873-nucleotide non-coding RNA. Lineage: Eukaryota; Metazoa; Chordata; Actinopteri; Syngnathiformes; Syngnathidae. The record is from RefSeq and is a predicted model, not a curated record.
AUUAUUUAUUUUCUAAAUGUGUGAAUUUAUUAUUUAGUAAUUGUGUGAAUUUUAUCUCAAUGAAUUAUUUAUUGUUCUUAUUUUGUUUACUCUAUUUUCAUUGCUUUCCUUGUAUAUGCGUUAUUUUAUCCUUUCACUUCUGCUCCUCCCGGGCUUCCAUAGUUGCCCCCAGCUCUGGUAGCUCUCCCUCUCUUUGCCACACAAGGUGGUUGGCAUUGAUGAGGGGUGCAGAAGUGGAGAGGAAAGAGACUAUUGUCAUUCUUUUGUCCUUCAGGACUCAGAAGAGCCUUUGAAGAGCAGCAGGCAAGAACGCUCGACACAGAUCACAGCAUAGUAAAUCGUGUUGAAACGGGAUCCGUCAUUCCUCCUGAUGUACAACAAUAGGGCAGGGGUCUCCAACUAAAAUUGAGUAAGGUCCGUUUCAUAUUUUUUUUCACAGUGGAGAUCUGAACCGUAUUUUGCCUUAAAUUGUGUCGACAGACUAACUCAUAUGAAUAUCAUAUGUAACUAGAUGAUAAAAUAUCAGCAGACAUUGCAUGUCAAUGCUGAAAAGCUGAAGCAAAACAAACUCUUUGAAAAGGUGUGAAAAUUAAAAUUUUGAAUGAAAUGGGAGACCAAAGCUGGACUUAAAGAGGCUAAAACGUAGAAUGAAAUUAAGAGGUAUUUGGAUUGAAUGUGAAUUGAACCCACCAUCUCUGGGUGUGGAUCCAAGCACUCUAACAGCUGGACUAUACAGCUUUUCCUAAUUUGCCACAAUUAGGGUAACAGCGGUAUGCCAAAUAAGUCUAGUGUGAUAUCCCAUCAUGCUUUGUGGCACUGCUCUUUUCUUUGUUAAUAUUAUGUAUUUAAUGUUGUGUAUUUUUUUUGGUCUUU